RNAcentral lists this ribosomal RNA (730 nucleotides) under Tomentella sp. IB2005315. RNAcentral's name for it is "eukaryotic LSU rRNA". The stretch from base 208 to 362 matches the Rfam family "5.8S ribosomal RNA". The record is from RNAcentral. Lineage: Eukaryota; Fungi; Basidiomycota; Agaricomycetes; Thelephorales; Thelephoraceae.
AUCAUUACUGAACUGUCGACACGAGUUGUUGCUGGUCCUCAAAUGGGGGCAUGUGCACGCUCUGUUUACACAUCCACUCACACCUGUGCACCUUCUGUAGUUCUAUGGGCUGGGGGACCCUGUCCUCCUUCUGUAGCUCUACGUCUUUACACACACACUGUAAUAAAGUCUUGUGGAAUGUAUGCCGCGUUUAACGCAAUACAAUACAACUUUCAGCAACGGAUCUCUUGGCUCUCGCAUCGAUGAAGAACGCAGCGAAAUGCGAUAAGUAAUGUGAAUUGCAGAAUUCAGUGAAUCAUCGAAUCUUUGAACGCACCUUGCGCCCCUUGGUUAUUCCGAAGGGCAUGCCUGUUUGAGUAUCAUGAACACCUCAACUCUUGUGGUUUCCCACAAUGAGCUUGGACCAUGGGGGUUUUUGUUGGCCUUCUGGUCAGCUCCUCUCAAAUGUAUCAGCUUACCGGUGUUUGGUGGCAUCAUGGGUGUGAUAACUAUCUACGCUCGUGGUCGUCUCCAAAUGACCUCCAGUGAUGGGGGUUCGCUGGAGCUUAUAAAUGUCUCUCCCUAGUGAAGACAGCCUUUGAACGUUCGAUCUCAAAUCAGGUAGGACUACCCGCUGAACUUAAGCAUAUCAAUAAGCGGAGGAAAAGAAACUAACAAGGAUUCCCCUAGUAACUGCGAGUGAAGCGGGAAGAGCUCAAAUUUAAAAUCUGGCGUGCCUCUGGUCGUCCGA